Molecule: long non-coding RNA, 899 nt
Organism: Daphnia pulex (common water flea)
Lineage: Eukaryota; Metazoa; Arthropoda; Branchiopoda; Diplostraca; Daphniidae
Exons: 4
Source: RefSeq, a predicted model, not a curated record
GACGAAAUCCCCAAGGUGAUGAUGCUUCAACAAUGAAGGUUGACAUUCACUCAAGUGCCUUGUGUAUGACAUCUGUUAGUGAUUCCAGAUUGUUGACGAAAUAUCGUCUUCUGCUACCAGCUACCUCUAGGUUCGGAUGACCAUUGAUAAUUGGAGAGCAGCAUAGGAAUGCAACAGCUUUGUCUGGGUCAAAUGCCCUACUAAAUUGAAUCCUCUUGGCCGUCUUGGGAAACGUUGUCUGCUCCUAAGUUACACAACACAUAUCAUAACUCAUAAGUUAAUUAACAAUAUCAAAACAAAUUUAGAUUGGGAUUUUGAGUUCACUUAGUUUUUGCGUGACCUAGGUGCUUGUGACAAUGGAAAUGAUAUGAUCCACCAAUAAUGCAAGCUAUGUCUUCCAAAGCUAAAUAGUUUCUACUGUCAUUUAAUGUUUAUAGUAAUAUUUCAGGUAACUUACCCAGUCAAAUCGUAGCAAAUCUUCAAGAUAUUAAUUGAUGCCUUCCUCAGAUCCAAUUCUUUGCUGCUAUCUCUUUUGCAGACAGUUGUGGUGACCUUCACCUAGUUCUAAUUUAGGACAUGUAACAUUGAUAGAUUUGAGGUUAAUCCCUCACCACUCUAUAGUUGUUUGGAAACUGAAGUGAGAUUGCUGGAACUGAAGACUAAUAAUUUGUGUAGAUGCAGAUACAUUACAAGUGCAUAUCUGGGUUUCCUUCUUUUCUGUGGUCUCGUUUCCCUAACUAACCACUAACCAACGCCCGCCGGUGGACACUCACCCGCUAUGGAGGUUCAUGAGGCUUAACUCGGAAGCCUAUUAUUACUAAAGAAGUAUUUAAUGGUUUGUACUAGCCGUUUUAUUGAUAUUUUUAUAUUUUAAAAAAAUUAUAAAAAUGAGUUUCCUG